Thamnophis elegans (Western terrestrial garter snake) is the source of this 663-nucleotide long non-coding RNA. RefSeq lists it as uncharacterized. The record is from RefSeq and is a predicted model, not a curated record. Lineage: Eukaryota; Metazoa; Chordata; Lepidosauria; Squamata; Natricidae. The transcript is spliced from 4 exons.
ACAAGUUUUUUUUUUUUAAGGUUCUUAUAUUAGUUUGCUUCAUUUGAGAAGCCUGGCUACGGAUAAACCAUGUGGAGAUUUGCUGUGCCCAUAGUCUGCCUCUUGACUGGAUUCACUGUUGCCGAGGGACCAGGGAAUUAUGGAGACUGUUACCAUAUUAAUACAAGCAUCAUGAUUGCGAUUGUAGCGGGAGACCUUCUUCUCACCCUCCUCCUCCUCGUCCCUGUUUAUUGCUGCAUCCGUCAAAAAAAUGUCGAAGAGGAAAAUAGAUGAACCAAGGAAUUAUGUUAACAUGAUCGGAAUACAGAAAUAAUAUCCCCUUCUGGUUGGAAGUGCAUUUGUGCCAUCUGCAUCGGAUACCAUCAGACUUGUGCUUCUGCAGAAUUAAAUACCAGGAGGCAGAAACUGGUCCCUGGGAUUGAGGAUCGAAGCCUGGAAUUGCCUCUACAGUGAACUCCCUGAGCCUUCCUCCCUAAGUCUCUCAGAAUCAUCUUGCCUGUCAGAAAUAGUUUGCAAAUUCUCAAGCGCAAUGUUUUCUUCCUUUCUGCCUUCCCUUCUCUUGGCAAAACCCUUCAUCAAGGAAAGCCAAAGAUAUAGCAAUAGCACUUAGACUUAUAUACCGCUUCGCAGUGCUUUAUAACCCUCUCUAAGCGGUUUUACAGA